This 253-nucleotide ribosomal RNA is filed under the name uncultured bacterium. Its description in RNAcentral is "partial 16S ribosomal RNA". It matches the Rfam family "Bacterial small subunit ribosomal RNA", at positions 524 to 776 of the family's 1533-position model. The record is from RNAcentral.
UACGUAGGGGGCAAGCGUUGUCCGGAUUUAUUGGGCGUAAAGCGCUCGUAGGUGGUCCGCUGCGUCGUGCGUGAAAGACCCCGGCUCAACUGGGGGGCGUCGUGCGAUACGGUCGGACUGGAGGCCAGUAGGGGGAUGCGGAAUUCCGGGUGUAGUGGUGGAAUGCGUAGAGAUCCGGAGGAACACCAGCGGCGAAGGCGGCAUCCUGGACUGGUCCUGACACUCAUGAGCGAAAGCGUGGGGAGCGAUCCGG